Molecule: ribosomal RNA, 521 nt
Filed under: uncultured bacterium
Lineage: Bacteria
Description: bacterial SSU rRNA
Rfam family: Archaeal small subunit ribosomal RNA
Source: RNAcentral
AACCUCCGCAAUGUACGAAAGUGCGACGGGGGGAUCCCAAGUGUUAUGCUUAAAGGUAUGACUUUUCAUUAGUGUAAAAAGCUUUUAGAAUAAGAGCUGGGCAAGACCGGUGCCAGCCGCCGCGGUAACACCGGCAGCUCGAGUGGUAGCUGUUUUUAUUGGGCCUAAAGCGUUCGUAGCCGGUUUAAUAAGUCUUUGGUGAAAGCUUGUAGCUUAACUAUAAGAAUUGCUGGAGAUACUAUUAGACUUGAAGUCGGGAGAGGUUAGAGGUACUACCGGGGUAGGGGUGAAAUCCUAUAAUCCUGGGAGGACCACCUGUGGCGAAGGCGUCUAACUGGAACGAUCUUGACGGUGAGUAACGAAAGCCAGGGGCGCGAACCGGAUUAGAUACCCGGGUAGUCCUGGCCGUAAACGAUGUGGACUUGGUGUUGGAAUGGCUUUGAGUUGUUCCGGUGCCGAAGGGAAGCUGUUAAGUCCACCGCCUGGGAAGUACGGUCGCAAGAUUGAAACUUAAAGGAAUU